GACGAACGCUGGCGGCGUGCCUAAUACAUGCAAGUAGAACGCUGAAGGAGGAGCUUGCUCUUCUGGAUGAGUUGCGAACGGGUGAGUAACGCGUAGGUAACCUGCCUGGUAGCGGGGGAUAACUAUUGGAAACGAUAGCUAAUACCGCAUAACAGUAGAUGUUGCAUGACAUUUACUUAAAAGGUGCAAUUGCAUCACUACCAGAUGGACCUGCGUUGUAUUAGCUAGUUGGUGGGGUAACGGCUCACCAAGGCGACGAUACAUAGCCGACCUGAGAGGGUGAUCUGCCACACUUGGACUGAGACACGGCCCAUACUCCUACGGGUGGCAGCAGUAGUGAAUCUUCGGCAAUGGACGGAAGUCUGACCGAGCAACGCCGCGUGAGUGAAGAAGGUUUUCGGAUCGUAAAGCUCUGUUGUAAGAGAAGAACGAGUGUGAGAGUUGAAAGUUCACACUGUGACGGUAUCUUACCAGAAAGGGACGGCUAACUACGUG
Molecule: ribosomal RNA, 495 nt
Filed under: uncultured bacterium
Lineage: Bacteria
Description: partial 16S ribosomal RNA
Rfam family: Bacterial small subunit ribosomal RNA
Source: RNAcentral